RNAcentral lists this transfer RNA (73 nucleotides) under Cordylochernes scorpioides. Its description in RNAcentral is "tRNA-Thr". Lineage: Eukaryota; Metazoa; Arthropoda; Arachnida; Pseudoscorpiones; Chernetidae. The record is from RNAcentral.
GUCCAGGGAUGGGAAUCGAACCCACAACGUUCCGCUUACCGGGCAGAUGCCAUGUCCACUAGGCUACCCUGGA